GGGGGCUCAGUGGUAGAGCUCUUGCCUUGCAUGCAUGAAGCCCUGGGUUCAAUUCCUCAGCACCA
RNAcentral lists this transfer RNA (65 nucleotides) under Dipodomys ordii (Ord's kangaroo rat). It matches the Rfam family "tRNA". From Rfam's summary of the family: Transfer RNA (tRNA) molecules are approximately 80 nucleotides in length. Their secondary structure includes four short double-helical elements and three loops (D, anti-codon, and T loops). Lineage: Eukaryota; Metazoa; Chordata; Mammalia; Rodentia; Heteromyidae. The record is from Rfam by way of RNAcentral.